AUGAUCCCGGCCAGCCCCAGCAAGCCUUCGCCGGGAACGCACACGGGCCCCGCCGCUCGGUCCCCAGCCCGCACGGCCGCGCAGGAACUCCCGCACCGGCGGCAGCCCCGAGGGGCCUCCAAGCCGAUGCGCGAUCCACGGAGGAGGGGCUGGCCCCGAGGAGCGGGGACCCGGCGAGUCCGUCCGCCGGUCAGGAGCUGGGCGACGCCCUUCAUUAUGGCCGCCGUUUGGGGAGGGAAACGAUCAUCAGCCACGGUGAGCGGGACGGGCGCGGCGGCGGGAUUCGGACAGAGGAGCAUGGAUACGGGGGACGUCGGCGCAGGCGCGGCGGCGGCGGGCGGCGCACGGUGGGGCGGGGCAGGAGGUGGCGGCGGGAUGGAUGUCGAGAUGGGAUCGAGGAGGCAAGGUCGCGCGGGACUGCGGGUGGCUGCGCUAUUCUUUUUUAUUUUGUCUCCUUCCUACUGGUUAAUUUCUCAGAAACGCGGGGACUUUUUCGCAAAACUGCCACGACGGACGACCGGAAGCAAUAGCUGGUUUAUUAAUAGUGAACUGACCAGAUGCAAGGUACAAUGA
RNAcentral lists this ribosomal RNA (573 nucleotides) under Triticum aestivum (bread wheat). Its description in RNAcentral is "partial small subunit ribosomal RNA". Lineage: Eukaryota; Viridiplantae; Streptophyta; Magnoliopsida; Poales; Poaceae. The record is from RNAcentral.